This 400-nucleotide unclassified non-coding RNA is filed under the name uncultured Cortinarius. Its description in RNAcentral is "sequence contains ITS2". The stretch from base 1 to 154 matches the Rfam family "5.8S ribosomal RNA". The record is from RNAcentral. Lineage: Eukaryota; Fungi; Basidiomycota; Agaricomycetes; Agaricales; Cortinariaceae.
AACUUUUAGCAAUGGAUCUCUUGGCUCUCGCAUCGAUGAAGAACGCAGCGAAAUGCGAUAAUUAAUGUGAAUUGCAGAAUUCAGUGAAUCAUCGAAUCUUUGAACGCACCUUGCGCUCCUUGGUAUUCCGAGGAGCAUGCCUGUUUGAGUGUCAUUAAUAUAUCAACCUUCUCUUGUUGAGUGGUUUGGAUGUGGGGGUUUGCUGGCCUCUUUAAAAGGUUUUAGCUCCCCUGAAAUGCAUUAGCAGAACAACCCCGUUCAUUGGUGUGAUAACUAUCUACGCUAUUGAAUGUGAAGGGCAGUUUGGCUUUCUAACAGUCCUUGGACAGCUCAUCAUUAAUGUGACCUCAAAUCAGGUAGGACUACCCGCUGAACUUAAGCAUAUCAAUAAGCGGAGGCU